Molecule: ribosomal RNA, 407 nt
Filed under: uncultured bacterium
Lineage: Bacteria
Description: partial 16S ribosomal RNA
Rfam family: Bacterial small subunit ribosomal RNA
Source: RNAcentral
AUCGAACGCUGGCGGCAGGCCUAACACAUGCAAGUCGAGCGGAGCGGCGGAAGGGUGAGUAAUGCCUAGGAAUCAGCCUGGUAGUGGGGGACAACUUCCGGGAACGUGCGCAAAUACCGCAUACUAUCAGAUGAGCCUAGGUCGGAUGAGCUGGUUGGGUGGGUAAAGGACUACCAAGGCGACGAUCCGUCACUGGUCUGAGAGGAUGAUCAGUCACACUGAAACGUAGACACGGGCCCGAAUCCGACGUGAGGCAGGAGGGGGGAAUAUUGGACAAUCGGCGAAAUCCUGAUCCAGCCAUGCGGCGUGUGUGUGGAAGGUCUUCGGAUUGUAAGGCACGUAGAGUUUGGAGGCGUUACCAACAGAAUAAGCACCGGCUAACGUCGUGCCAGCAGCCGCGGUAAUAC